GACGAACGCUGGCGGCGUGCUUAACACAUGCAAGUCGAACGGAAAGGACCUGAUUUUGUGGGGUGCUCGAGUGGCGAACGGGUGAGUAUCACGUGAGUAACCUGCCCUUUACUGUGGGAUAACUUCAGGAAACUGGGGCUAAUACCGGAUAGGAGCUCCUGCGGCAUGGUGGGGGUUGGAAAGUUGCGGCGGUUGGGGAUGGACUCGCGGCUUAUCAGCUUGUUGGUGGGGUAGUGGCUUACCAAGGCGUUGACGGGUAGCCGGCCUGAGAGGGUGACCGGCCACAGUGGGACUGAGAUACGGCCCAGACGCCUACGGGAGGCAGCAGUGGGGAAUAGUGCACAAUGGGCGGAAGCCUGAUGCAGCAACUCCGCGUGCGGGAUGACGGCCUUCGGGUUGUAAACCGCUUUCGCCUGUGACGAAGCGUGAGUGACGGUAAUGGGUAAAGAAGCACCGGCUAACUACGUG
RNAcentral lists this ribosomal RNA (468 nucleotides) under uncultured bacterium. RNAcentral describes it as "partial 16S ribosomal RNA". It matches the Rfam family "Bacterial small subunit ribosomal RNA", at positions 28 to 507 of the family's 1533-position model. The record is from RNAcentral.